Molecule: ribosomal RNA, 255 nt
Filed under: Pantoea sp. WMus005
Lineage: Bacteria; Pseudomonadati; Pseudomonadota; Gammaproteobacteria; Enterobacterales; Erwiniaceae
Description: partial 23S ribosomal RNA
Rfam family: Bacterial large subunit ribosomal RNA
Source: RNAcentral
GUUCAACGUUAAUCGGAGCAGGGUGAGUCGACCCCUAAGGCGAGGCCGAAAGGCGUAGUCGAUGGGAAACAGGUUAAUAUUCCUGUACUCGGUGUUACUGCGAAGGGGGGACGGAGAAGGCUAUAUCAGCCGGGCGACGGUUGUCCCGGUUUAAGCGUGUAGGCGGAGGGUCCAGGUAAAUCCGGUCCCUUAUCAACGCUGAGGCGUGACGACGAGGCACUACGGUGCUGAAGUGAUAAAUGCCCAGCUUCCAGG